This is a transfer RNA of Galdieria sulphuraria, 85 nucleotides long. It matches the Rfam family "tRNA". Rfam says of the family: Transfer RNA (tRNA) molecules are approximately 80 nucleotides in length. Their secondary structure includes four short double-helical elements and three loops (D, anti-codon, and T loops). The record is from Rfam. Lineage: Eukaryota; Rhodophyta; Bangiophyceae; Galdieriales; Galdieriaceae.
GCUAGGUUGGCCGAGUGGUCUAAGGCGGUAGACUUAAGAUCUACUGGGGCUACGCUCCGCGAGGGUUCGAACCCCUCACCUAGCA